This 407-nucleotide ribosomal RNA is filed under the name uncultured bacterium. RNAcentral describes it as "partial 16S ribosomal RNA". It matches the Rfam family "Bacterial small subunit ribosomal RNA", at positions 29 to 526 of the family's 1533-position model. The record is from RNAcentral.
UACGAACGCUGGCGGCGUGCCUAAUACAUGCAAGUAGAACGCAGUUUCGAACGCGUGAGUAACGCGUAGGUAACUGCCCGGUAGCGGGGGAUAACUCUUGGAAACGCUAGCUAAUACCCCAUACUCCCAGAUGGACCUGCGUUGUAUUAGCUAGUUGGUGAGGUAACGGCUCACAAAGGCAACGAUACAUAGCCGAACUGGGAGGGGGAUCGGCCAAACUGGGACUGAGAAACGGCCCAGAAUCCUACGGGAGGCAGCAGUAGGGAAACGUCGGGAAUGGGGGGAAGCCUGACCGGGCAACGCCGGGUGGGUGGAGAAGGGUUUCGGAUCGGAAAGCUCUGUUGUUAAGAAAGCGGUACUUAACCAGAAAGGGACGGCUAACUACGUGCCAGCAGCCGCGGUAAUUC